UACAGAGGAGCCAAGCGUUGUCCGGAUUGACUGGGCGUAAAGCGCCCGCAGGCGGAUGCGCGCGUGGGGUGUGAAAUCUGGCCGCUUAACGGCCAGGCGCCAUCCCAUACGGCGCGUCUGGAGUGAUGCAGAGGUCGAUGGAAUUGCCGGUGUAGUGGUGAAAUGCGUAGAGAUCGGCAGGAACACCCAGGGGGAAACCAGUCGACUGGGCAUCUACUGACGCUGAGGUGCGAGAGCGUGGGGAGCGAACCGG
Molecule: ribosomal RNA, 253 nt
Filed under: uncultured bacterium
Lineage: Bacteria
Description: partial 16S ribosomal RNA
Rfam family: Bacterial small subunit ribosomal RNA
Source: RNAcentral